GAAGGAGUUGGAGCAGAGUGUAGUUUAGAGAAGUGCCGUGGCCGGCUAGAAGACCAAGACCCUAGGAUGUCAUGAUGGCCAAAAAUAAACUGUGUUCAAAAAAAGAUCUGGAUAAAUUCAUGGAGGACUAAUCCAUCAAUGACUACUAGCCAAGAUGCUCAGGGAUGCAACCCCAAACUUCUGAUUACCAGAAGCCAGGAGUGGAAGGAAAAUUCAGAAGUGCUACAACUAUGUCCUGUUGUUCCCUCCCAGAUGCCCUGAGAGACUCCAGAUGCUUCAUUUAUUCCACUUUUUGUGUGAAAGAUUUUACUUCUGUGGGACAGUUAUUGAAUUUUAAUGGAAGAUCAUAUUAAAAAGCAGAGGAACACAGACAUUACUAGACCAAUUCCAAAGGCAAAAGCAAGACAAACAACAUAGUAGAUAAAGAGGCAGUUCUUCUACCUGAUGAAAGUUUCUCAUAACGUAAGCUACGCUGAGCCUCUGUUCAAUGCAACAUACAGAUAGACACUUGAUCUGGAGGACAAACACUUCAUAUUACUGAAGAAUAUGACUUCUCCCUCAUUCCAUAACAUAAAAAAUCACCUACAUAUUCAUUCUGUUGUUGUUCCAAAAUUAUUACUGAAUAGAAAGCCAGGCAAUUUCUAGUCUGCAUAAAUAACAAACAAGAAAAUAGCCUUAAUGUUGCUGCUUUUUUUUUUUUUAAUAGAUUCAUAGAAUUUGAGGCUUGAAGGGACAAUUAGAUCAUGUAGCUAACCUCCAGUAUAUCACAGGCCAGUAAGCAUCAUUAAGUUACCCCUGUACUGAGCCACAUAACUUGUGUUUGUUUGACUAAAGCAUAACUUGUUUGGCUGAAGCGUGUUUUCCAAUCUUGAUUUG
Chelonia mydas (Green sea turtle) is the source of this 876-nucleotide long non-coding RNA. RefSeq lists it as uncharacterized. The record is from RefSeq and is a predicted model, not a curated record. The transcript has 3 exons. Lineage: Eukaryota; Metazoa; Chordata; Testudines; Cheloniidae.